Molecule: long non-coding RNA, 394 nt
Organism: Trichomycterus rosablanca
Lineage: Eukaryota; Metazoa; Chordata; Actinopteri; Siluriformes; Trichomycteridae
Exons: 3
Source: RefSeq, a predicted model, not a curated record
GGAUCCAGCAGCAGUUUGGACAGAGCCACUAUCUGAGGUGUGCGGUCCCAGCCAUCAGAACAAUGCACCAGAACAGGCAUGCUGUCUCGAUCCACCGUGUUUACUACUAACAGAGACGCCUUCAGCAGGAGAGACAGGUGCUGCAGCCACUUAGUGCCCUCAAGAGCAGACAGCCAACUGAAAAAGGCAAAUAAGGAAAGGUGCAGCUGAACCAAGUCUCGACACUCCACGCUCUCUAUCAAUUGCAGAGGAACCUGACAAACAGCAAUAUGGAUUUAGACGAUAAAGAAUAGAAAAUCUGGACUUUCAGCUUCUGGACUGGGCUGCUCCUCUUCACCCUGCCAAACACACCCAGUUAAACUAGCACAUAGUUAUUGUUUGCAAAACGAGUUCU